This 72-nucleotide transfer RNA is filed under the name Candidatus Kaiserbacteria bacterium. Its description in RNAcentral is "tRNA-Arg". It matches the Rfam family "tRNA". From Rfam's summary of the family: Transfer RNA (tRNA) molecules are approximately 80 nucleotides in length. The record is from RNAcentral. Lineage: Bacteria; Candidatus Kaiseribacteriota.
GCACCCGUGGUGAAAUGGAUAUCAUGACUGACUUCGGAUCAGUUGUUCCAGGUUCGAGUCCUGGCGGAUGCA